RNAcentral lists this non-coding RNA (60 nucleotides) under unclassified sequences. RNAcentral describes it as "RAGATH-30 RNA". It matches the Rfam family "RAGATH-30 RNA". From Rfam's summary of the family: Environmental. The record is from Rfam by way of RNAcentral.
GUAAAAAUAAGAAUUUUAUCGAUAUUGCUCGUGUAGUCGAGAACUGCCAAGUGGCAGCAA